AAAUAGCCAAGAUACCGCCUAAAGUUAUAGAAUGCUGGAGCUAAAAUAGGGGUAAAUUCGGCGAGCAUCAACCAUAUUCAGCAUAUCGCCGAUCUAGUCAGCGAAGGACAACCAGGUCACCAAAAGAUUGCCUAAAGUUACAGUAGCCAGACCAAGAAAAAGCGAAAAAUGAAGGCGAUAUAAAGAGCAAUCGGCGAAUCACCGACCCGUUAGUGAUACCCGAGUUACUUCACCGAGCACCCCUGAGCAGUGACAUUUUAGACUUGUUUAAAGUAGUUUUGGCUAGAGAGAGCAAUUCAUUCAGAAAGGGAAAAAAGAAUUAUUUAGAGAGAAAACACUACCAAAGGGUUGGGGG
This 355-nucleotide long non-coding RNA is filed under the name Solanum tuberosum (potato). Its description in RNAcentral is "long non-coding RNA (STUB_LNC011436)". The record is from RNAcentral. Lineage: Eukaryota; Viridiplantae; Streptophyta; Magnoliopsida; Solanales; Solanaceae.